This 1055-nucleotide ribosomal RNA is filed under the name uncultured marine bacterium. Its description in RNAcentral is "bacterial SSU rRNA". It matches the Rfam family "Bacterial small subunit ribosomal RNA", at positions 66 to 1123 of the family's 1533-position model. The record is from RNAcentral.
GGGUAGAAUGUCUUCGGAUAUUUGAGACCGGCGCACGGGUGCGUAACACGUAUGCAACCUGCCUUUUACUGGGGAAUAGCCCGAAGAAAUUCGGAUUAAUGCCCCAUAUGCUCGCACAAUCGCAUGAUUGAGCGAGGAAAGCUCCGGCGGUAAAAGAUGGGCAUGCGUCCUAUUAGCUUGUUGGUGAGGUAAUGGCUCACCAAGGCUACGAUAGGUAGGGGACCUGAGAGGGUGAACCCCCACACUGGUACUGAGACACGGACCAGACUCCUACGGGAGGCAGCAGUGAGGAAUAUUGGGCAAUGGAGGAAACUCUGACCCAGCCAUGCCGCGUGCAGGAAGACGGCCCUCUGGGUUGUAAACUGCUUUUAUAUGGGAAUAAACCCUUCCACGUGUGGAAGGCUGAAGGUACCAUAAGAAUAAGGAUCGGCUAACUCCGUGCCAGCAGCCGCGGUAAUACGGAGGAUCCAAGCGUUAUCCGGAUUUAUUGGGUUUAAAGGGUCCGUAGGCGGGUCUUUAAGUCAGUGGUGAAAGCCUGCAGCUUAACUGUAGAAUUGCCAUUGAUACUGAAGACCUUGAGUGUAGUAGAAGUAGGCGGAAUAUGGCAUGUAGCGGUGAAAUGCAUAGAUAUGCCAUAGAACACCGAUUGCGAAGGCAGCUUACUAUGUUACAACUGACGCUGAGGGACGAAAGCGUGGGUAGCAAACAGGAUUAGAUACCCUGGUAGUCCACGCCGUAAACGAUGAUUACUCGCUGUUAGCGAUAUACAGUUAGCGGCCAAGCGAAAGCAUUAAGUAAUCCACCCUGGGGAGUACGCCGGCAACGGUGAAACUCAAGGGAAUUGACGGGGGCCCGCACAAGCGGUGGAGCAUGUGGUUUAAUUCGAUGAUACGCGAGGAACCUUACCAGGGUUUAAAUGGAAAUUGACAGAUGCCGAAAGGUAUCCUUCUUCGGACAAUUUUCAAGGUGCUGGCAUGGUUGUCGUCAGCUCGUGCCGCGAAGGUGUUUGGGUUAAGUCCCGCAACGAGCGCAACCCCUACUGUUAGUUGCCAGCG